RNAcentral lists this ribosomal RNA (434 nucleotides) under uncultured bacterium. RNAcentral describes it as "partial 16S ribosomal RNA". It matches the Rfam family "Bacterial small subunit ribosomal RNA", at positions 29 to 507 of the family's 1533-position model. The record is from RNAcentral.
AGCGAACGCUGGCGGCAUGCCUAACACAUGCAAGUCGAACGAACCUUUCGGGGUUUUUGUCGUACGGGUUUGGAACACGAGGGAACGUUCCCUUAUGUUCGGCCUACCUCAGGGACACUUGUGCUAAUAGCGAACGUGCCCUUCUGGGGGAAGAUUUGUCGCCUCUCGUGCGGCCCGCGUCCGAUUAGCUAGUUGUAUGAGGUAAUGGCUCACCAAGGCGACGUUCAGUAGAUGGUCUGUGAGGAUGAUCCGCCACAUUGGGACUGGGACGCAGCCCAGAAUCCUACGGGAGGCGGCAGAGGGGGAUCUAGCGAAAUCGGCGAAGUGCUGACGGUGCCAGGACGCGUGAAUGAUGAAGGUAGUAAAAAAGUAAAAUGCUAGCAACGGGGAAGAUAAUGACGGUACCCGGAGAAAAAGCCCCGGCUAACUUCGUG